This is an RNA transcript of Ipomoea triloba (trilobed morning glory), 3313 nucleotides long. It is a transcript of the gene named receptor-like protein EIX2, with no coding region annotated. The transcript is spliced from 2 exons. Lineage: Eukaryota; Viridiplantae; Streptophyta; Magnoliopsida; Solanales; Convolvulaceae. The record is from RefSeq and is a predicted model, not a curated record.
AGGCAUACUCAGUUUCUAUAUAUUUUAGUCCUAUUUUCAAAACUCAAGAGGAAUUACAUACCAAGAUUUUGUUUACACUCUACACACCAUGAGACAUACCACUUUCAAUAUUAUGCUACUGCUUCUUUUUCUUCUCGUUAUAUUCAGAUUUGAGUUUUGUUACUCAAAUAAUAAUUCAGCUGCAGGUUGCCUUGAAGGGGAGCGGAUUUCUCUUCUCCAAUUCAAGAAAAGCCUGGUUGAUAGAUCAAAUCGUCUCUCCUCGUGGACCGGUCUUGAUUGUUGUAAAUGGGAGGGAGUGUCUUGUAGCUCAACAACUGGCCAUGUCCUAAAGCUUGAUUUACAUAACCUGCAAGCAACAUAUGAUGAUUAUAUUGGGAAGUACUGCAACAAUUGCUUGGAAGGUGAGAUAAAUCAAUCUCUUAUCAACUUAACACAUUUGGAUUACCUUGAUCUAAGUUUGAACAAUUUUUCUGGAAUCAAAAUUCCUGAAUUCUUGGGAUCCUUCAAAAACUUGAAGUAUCUCAACCUCUCGAGUUCGGGUUUUGUGGGAAGCAUUCCAACUCAUCUUGGAAAUCUUUCAAGUUUAGAGCAUCUCAAUCUAGGGACAUCAUUACUUGGGUCUUAUAAUGCUUUGACUACAGAUAAUUUGAACUGGCUGGCUAGCCUUUUUUCUCUAAAAAGCCUUGACAUGUCUGGGAUUUCCAUUUGUCGUGAUGAAAAUUGGUUGAGCACAAUCAACAACCUCAUGUCUUUAUCUUCUUUAAACUUAGAAAAUUGUGACCUUAACACAACCAAUCCUCCUUCCCAUGUUAACUCCACUUCCCUCAUCUCUCUAGAUCUCAAUAGAAAUAGUUUGGAUUCCACAGUCCUUCCAUGGUUGUCGAAUCUCACAGGACUUGAGCAUCUCAAUUUAUUUGGCAACCAAUUUAUAGGCAAACAAAUUCUUUUGUGUAAGUUGCUCAAUUUGGUAUCAUUAGAUCUCGGUGCGAACCAUUUUAAUGGUUUAAUUCCCAAUUGUUUUGGAAACUUGACUUCUUUAACUUCUCUCAGUUUAAGAGAGAAUAGCUUUACAGGUUCAAUUCCGAAUAGCUUAAGUCAUCUUUGUAGCUUGCAAUUCCUUGAUGUCUCUGAAAAUAAGUUGACAGGUUUCAUUAGAGUUCCAUCUGACUGCCCCUUCUAUAGAUUGAAAGAUUUGAUCUUACAAGAUAACAAUUUCAAAGGUGAAAUUCCAAAUUGGUUGUACAAGUGUAAGAAUCUGGAAAGUCUUUCUCUCUAUUCAAAUUCCUUCUCUGGUCCAAUAGCAGAUUCAAUUGGGAACUUGUCAAUGUUAAAUGGGUUGUUUAUUGGUGGUAAUAAGUUUACUGGUAGCGUGCCUCCAAGUAUUGGAGAACUUUCAAACCUUGUAGGUUUAGAUAUAUCAGAUAAUCUUUUUACUGGUGUUGUCUCAGAAUCCCAUUUUUCAAAACUUAGUAAGCUCAUCCAAUUGAACAUAUCUUCAAAUUUAUUUGUUUUGAAUUUAAGUUCCAAUUGGGUUCCUCCAUUUCAACUCCAAGGAAUUUUCAUGGAAUUCGUCAAAAUUGGACCACACUUCCCUCAUUGGCUUCGUACUCAGAGACGUGUUCAAUUCUUGAUCAUGUAUAAUGCAAGUAUCUCAGAUGUUAUCCCUGAUUGGUUUGAAAGAUUUUUCUGGAAUUGCGAUGAUAUAGAUCUUUCUAAAAAUGAUAUAAGUGGAGAACUUCUCACAAAGUCUAAUGGUGAAGGUUACAAGAAAACGUUAAUUUGGUUUCUUCAUCUUUCAACAAAUCAUUUGACUGGUGAAAUCCCUAAGUGGUUAUGCAGUUUAAAAGAUUUACAACUGCUUGAUCUUUCUACAAAUAAAUUUUAUGGAGAGAUACCACCAUGUUUAGGGAAAUUACAAAAUUUGGAAGUUCUUGAUUUGGCAAAUAACAAUCUAUAUGGUCAAAUUCCGAAUUUGUUUGGAUCUCUAUAUUCCUUGAAAUCUUUGAGCCUGCGAAACAACAGACUUGAAGGUGAACUCCCUUUAAGUUUGCAAAAUUUAAGGGAUUUGAUAUUGUUGGAUUUAAGUGAAAAUGAAUUAGUGGAUGUUAUCCCCGCAUGGAUUGGAGAAAAGUUAUCUAAGUAUAAGCUUUCUUAUACUUCAUGCAAAUCAUUUUUAUGGGGAUAUUCCGCUACAACUUUGUCAAUUACCUAAUCUUCAAUUGUUGAGCUUGGCACAUAACAACAUAUCUGGAUACAUCCCUCAGUGUUUUGACAACCUAACUCAAAUGAUUUCUGAAAGACCAUUAGAUCUUUAUUAUGAUGAAGCGGGUGGUGGAAGCGAGUAUUACAAUGAAAUUUAUGAAGAUAUAAAAGGAUUAACAUUGCAGUACAAUAAGACCCUUCCAUUUUUGAUAUCUAUAGACCUUUCUGGGAAUCGCUUAACUGGAAUGAUCCCAGUGGAGUUAACAAGGUUGCAUGCCAUAAAGAAUUUGAAUCUUUCUGGAAAUCAUUUAAGUGGGGCUAUUCCUAAGAGUAUUGGUGACUUAAGAAAUAUUGAGUCUCUUGAUUUAUCAAGGAAUGCAUUAUCUGGUCCAAUUCCUCUAAGCUUAUCAUCUCUAAGCUUUCUAAGCUACUUGAACUUGUCAUUCAACAACUUAUAUGGAAGAAUACCAAUGGGAAAUCAACUUCAGACCUUGAAUGAUCCAUCUAUUUACAUUGGCAAUGAAGGCCUUUGUGGUGCCCCACUACUUCUAAAGAAUUGUCCAGGUGAUGUACCAUCUUUUGUUGGUCAACCUACAGAAACUAGUAGCAGUGAUGAUCAUGAGUUUUUCAUGUGGUUCUAUGCUGGUAUGGGACCUGGAUUUUUUGUUGGAUUUAUUGGAGUGCUAAGCAUUUUAUUAUUCAAGACGUCUUGGCGUCACGCGUACUUCAAAUUCUUGGGAAUGGCUUACAACAAAAUAUUAUGCCGGUGUUGAUACCUAAUGCAAAUGCAGAGAAGUGAUUGUGGGCUAGCUUGUCGUACUUGUUUGCAUUGAUUUUAUUAGGGUUUAGAUUAAGUUAAAAGAGAAGCCGAUUAUCUCAUUUAUAUGUUAUAGGUGGUGAUCUUAUUUGUUGUUUAUGUGUUUUGGACUACCUUUUAUGGUAAUGCUUUUGUUUUGUUUUUUGUAUGUUGCUUCUUAUCUAAUGAAGGUUGUAGUGAUGAGAUUUGCAGUUGAUGUUUGUCUUGAGCCAUAUGCAUGUAAUUUAUUAUCGCAUUCAAUGUCAUCUGAACUGUACCCCUAAUGAUGUAAUGCAUACUCAUAUUGUGAUAUAA